GGGCAGCACGAUGUAGCAAUACAUUGGUGGCGACCGGCGCACGGGUGAGUAACGCGUAUGCAACCUACCUAUCAGAGGGGAAUAACCCGGCGAAAGUCGGACUAAUACCGCAUAAAACAGGGGUUCCACAUGGAAAUAUUUGUUAAAGAAUUAUCGCUGAUAGAUGGGCAUGCGUUCCAUUAGAUAGUUGGUGAGGUAACGGCUCACCAAGUCCACGAUGGAUAGGGGUUCUGAGAGGAAGGUCCCCCACACUGGUACUGAGACACGGACCAGACUCCUACGGGAGGCAGCAGUGAGGAAUAUUGGUCAAUGGGCGAGAGCCUGAACCAGCCAAGUCGCGUGAAGGAUGAAGGAUCUAUGGUUUGUAAACUUCUUUUAUAUGGGAAUAAAGUGAGGAACGUGUUCCUUUUUGUAUGUACCAUAUGAAUAAGCAUCGGCUAACUCCGUGCCAGCAGCCGCGGUAAUACGGAGGAUGCGAGCGUUAUCCGGAUUUAUUGGGUUUAAAGGGUGCGUAGGUGGUUAAUCAAGUCAGCGGUGAAAGUUUGUGGCUCAACCAUAAAAUUGCCGUUGAAACUGGUUGACUUGAGUAUAUUUGAGGUAGGCGGAAUGCGUGGUGUAGCGGUGAAAUGCAUAGAUAUCACGCAGAACUCCGAUUGCGAAGGCAGCUUACUAAACUAUAACUGACACUGAAGCACGAAAGCGUGGGGAUCAAACAGGAUUAGAUACCCUGGUAGUCCACGCAGUAAACGAUGAUUACUAGCUGUUUGCGAUACACAGUAAGCGGCACAGCGAAAGCGUUAAGUAAUC
Molecule: ribosomal RNA, 807 nt
Filed under: uncultured bacterium
Lineage: Bacteria
Description: bacterial SSU rRNA
Rfam family: Bacterial small subunit ribosomal RNA
Source: RNAcentral